RNAcentral lists this unclassified non-coding RNA (2201 nucleotides) under Dermacentor andersoni. Its description in RNAcentral is "uncharacterized LOC126517634". Lineage: Eukaryota; Metazoa; Arthropoda; Arachnida; Ixodida; Ixodidae. The record is from RNAcentral.
CGAAGUAUUAUAUUAUCACCUCGCGACGACGCUAUCUUGCUCGAAAUGCUCAAUCCUAUCCCACAGCGCGGAAAUGUCACCCUCAAGGUCAACGAGUUCCAGGAGGAACGGGGAGUCGACGUGGCCGUGCCUCGAAGGUCACUCGGCUUAGGCAUGGAUCAUGUGACAACACUCGACGUGUCAGAGGUUUAUAUGAGCGACACCCUUGCGUGUUGGCUGAUCCGGGAGCUCACUGAAAACAAGAGCAUCACUGGACUCGGUGUCUCGCACAGCGUGUUCCCCUAUCGCGACGAAGCCUCCAACGCGUUGUUCGCCAGAUACCUCGCCAAAGAAGACUGCGCGCUAAGAAAACUGACUCUCAAAUAUACGGACAUUUACCGCAGAGGGUUGGACCUGGCCCUGAGGGAAAUCGUCGAUGCACUCUGCAAGAUGAGUACUUUGGAGGAACUGAACGCAGACAUCGUCGUGGCGCCCGUAAGAUUCAUGAGCACGGUCACCCUCUUCGCCGAAGUCAUCACACGGAGUGACACACUACGGCGGCUGAGACUACCUUCGACGACAUGCGAAUGUCUUGCGACAUUAAGGAAUUCAACUCUCCAGCUUCCGGAUCCCCAAGCUGCGAAGUGCAUGGAGUCCUUGUGCCAAGGCCUGCAGAAACAGAGCUCGACGCUCAGCCGGCUCUGCAUUGACAUGCGGAUUUUCGCAGAAGCAGAGUGCCACUCCUUCUUCCAUGCAGUCGCGGACAACAAGGCACUGAAGACGGUGGUCGUCGACACCUUGCCCUGCAUCGACGGACUCGACAGAGUCUCCAGAACUAUCCGAAAACGGGGACUCAAUGACCGCGUUGUCGUCAAGGGACAAUGCGCGCACGACAACACAAGGCAGCUGCAGCAAUGCCCACAAAUCUGCAAUGCAACCGUCGAUACGGUGAUGGGAACUGCCAAUGUCCUGCAUUUAUUUAUCCCAUCUUUACGCGUUGUCAGUGGUUGCGAUCACAUCACUUCGCUGCGGGUUCAAUGCUUGGGCUGCGGAAUCAAUGAAUAUUCCGCCUUGACAGCAUGUAUAAGGGGCUCUACCGCACUCACUGAGGUAGACAUAGACAUGAAUCCCGCGUGGAUCCUUGGGACAAGCCCGGAGCUUCGGGAAGUAGAGGGAGAACUGGUGUCAGCUCUCGCUUCUAACAUCAAGCUAGCCAGAGUCAACCUCAAGGGUUUCCAGCUGUCCUACGACGACAUGAACGUGCUCGCGCGAGCCGCUAGCAGGAGCCUCAGCCUCAUUGAAUUCACUCUGAGUUCUGCGUGCUUCCUUUACAACAGUGAUGAUAGAAUAAGCUGUCCUCUACACGAGACCCAAGCGUUCCUCGAAGCAUCCGACCACAAGGAUGGCGCGCUGGCGGACAUCAUGGAAGUGGCCAGGAAGAACGCAUCCGCCGUCUUGGACGCUGCAGACUUCGUGCUGGGCGAACAAGAUGGCGUCGAAGGUGCGCGCGCCGUCGAGCUGAUGCGUGACCACCCGCGUCUCCUCGAAAUGGUGAUGGAAGAUGCUGACGUCACUAAGGCCGAAGCCAAGGAGAAGAUCCGCAGUGCCCUGAUUCGCGUCCGCAGCAGUAGCAUUGACGAAUUUAUGAGAAUGACUGGCGUCGUCAAGGAGGCGGUGCAGUGCCUCAGUCAUCCCGGUGCCAGGAGGCUUCAGCUCGCCGACAUUGGCCACGACUGCUGGCUCCACAUUCGUAGUUUCCUGAAGAUAGCGGACGUCGUGUCACGUUGAGCCAGUCCAGUGUUCCGCUGGAGAGCUUGGCAGACUGAGGGGAGAGGAAACCAAGCUGGCUCCUCCUGCUGGCGUCGAAGUGCGGCUGUAAAGAGAGGCUGUUACGUUUCAACUAGUAGGGCUCGGUUGUGCGCCUGUUGACUUUUCCCACUCGUUACAUCACCGACCCAGGAUGCUGUUAGGAAGCCACUGAACACCGUUUGCCAUCGCCGAUGUGGAAGUGUUUCAGCGUCAAUGUAAUGUGUUUUGAGGUGGUGGCGUUGAAGCAGUGGAGGAGGCGUCCUGUCGUUUUCCUCGUAUUACUUCACGUGACAUGAAAGGCGAUUGGAGUUUGCUUGACACGUGCCAAUUUUGGAACGAUGGCAGCGUGCCCAUCUUUCUUUAUUGACCCUGAUUUCAAUCCUGAAACAAAGCUUAGAUGUAUAUAUCUCUCU